AGUGAACGCUGGCGGUAGGCCUAACACAUGCAAGUCGAACGGCAGCACAGUAAGAGCUUGCUCUUACGGGUGGCGAGUGGCGGACGGGUGAGGAAUACAUCGGAAUCUACUUUUUCGUGGGGGAUAACGUAGGGAAACUUACGCUAAUACCGCAUACGACCUACGGGUGAAAGCAGGGGAUCUUCGGAACUUGCGCGAUUGAAUGAGCCGAUGUCGGACUAGCUAGUUGGCGGGGUAAAGGCCCACCAAGGCGACGAUCCGUAGCUGGUCUGAGAGGAUGAUCAGCCACACUGGAACUGAGACACGGUCCAGACUCCUACGGGAGGCAGCAGUGGGGAAUAUUGGACAAUGGGCGCAAGCCUGAUCCAGCCAUACCGCGUGGGUGAAGAAGGCCUUCGGGUUGUAAAGCCCUUUUGUUGGGAAAGAAAAGCAGCAGGUUAAUACCCCGCUGUUCUGACGGUACCCAAAGAAUAAGCACCGGCUAACUUCGUG
RNAcentral lists this ribosomal RNA (492 nucleotides) under uncultured bacterium. Its description in RNAcentral is "partial 16S ribosomal RNA". It matches the Rfam family "Bacterial small subunit ribosomal RNA", at positions 29 to 507 of the family's 1533-position model. The record is from RNAcentral.